Molecule: non-coding RNA, 46 nt
Organism: Spinacia oleracea (spinach)
Lineage: Eukaryota; Viridiplantae; Streptophyta; Magnoliopsida; Caryophyllales; Amaranthaceae
Source: Rfam
AAAAAGGCGCCUUUCGGCGCCCCUUACAGCAAAAGAUGAAACACUU